This 825-nucleotide long non-coding RNA is filed under the name Coturnix japonica (Japanese quail). RNAcentral describes it as "lncRNA (ENSCJPG00005004726.1)". The record is from RNAcentral. Lineage: Eukaryota; Metazoa; Chordata; Aves; Galliformes; Phasianidae.
CUGCUGAUUAAUCACAUCUAUUGCAGCUGUCGUACUGGGGGGAUUUGAACAAACCAUGGAGUUUUUCAUUUUUUCCUCUUUUUGUAGUGCCAUAGUACAGAAAUACGUUUGAACAAAAUGUUCAUUCUAUCCUUUAAACGUCUUUGAAAGACCUAUUCUGGAGGAAGAAUAAAUAUAGCUUUCCAGUAUAGCCUUGCAGUACUAAAUUUUGUUGAAUGUAAGUAUUUAAGUCACAUACAUUAUUGUUAAUAUUCAGAAGAAAACAGAAAUAUAUAUGUAUUUUAUUUGAGCUGUUUUUUUUUCUGAAUCUUCUGGGAAGUGGAACUUCUGUCCAUGUGGAAGGCACCCAACUUUACCAGGUGCUUCUGAACGAACAUCUCAAGUGCCUGGUUUUCCAGCUGUUCUUCAAGUGAUUACACGUAUGCAUGUGAGUGUAUAUAUGUGUAUUAGCAAGGUAUUAAAGAUGACUGUGAGGGCAGUACAUAAAUGACUGACAAAUUGAGAUGGUUUGAUACUGUAAAACAAAAACAUGUCUUUUCAGGGUGAUACCUCUUGCUGACGAGCAGGAAAUUUCUCCACAGGAAGUAUCCAAGUGCUAUCAAGAUCUGGAGAGCCUUCUCUGCAGUUUGCCAAAGAGUCCAGCAUUUCCUGUUUACAUUCUGCACAUAUGCAUGAGGACACCCUGUAGUCACUCUGUGCUUAAAGUGAUGCAACUAAAAGGAUCUAAUAAAAGGCUUUCCUUCCAGCUUCCGACUUUGUUGUGUCCUAGAACCUGCAGGGCCACUGCUACUCUACUGCUGUUCACCUUAGCCUCCACUGUAGUCC